RNAcentral lists this ribosomal RNA (423 nucleotides) under Triticum aestivum (bread wheat). RNAcentral's name for it is "partial small subunit ribosomal RNA". Lineage: Eukaryota; Viridiplantae; Streptophyta; Magnoliopsida; Poales; Poaceae. The record is from RNAcentral.
AUUCCGCAAAGAAUUAUUACAGGUUAUAGGAUGGUAAUUGAUUUCCGUAAAUUAAAUAAAGCUACUAAGAAAGAUCAUUACCCUUUACCUUUUAUUGAUCAAAUGCUAGAAAGGCUAUCCAAACACACACAUUUCUGCUUUCUAGAUGGUUAUUCUGGUUUCUCUCAAAUACCUGUGUCAGCGGACGAUCAAUCAAAAACUACUUUUACUUGCCCUUUCGGUACUUUUGCUUAUAGACGUAUGCCUUUUGGUUUAUGUAAUGCACCCACUACCUUUCAAAGAUGCAUGAUGGCUAUAUUCUCUGACUUUUGUGAAAAGAUUUGUGAGGUAUUCAUGGAUGAUUUCUCCAUUUAUGGAUCCUCUUUUGAUGAUUGCUUGAGCAACCUUGAUCGAGUUUUGCAGAGAUGCGAAGACACUAGUCUU